CUUGCUACUGCUAGAACAUACACAGAAAUACGUGUGAUUUUGAUUUUCUCAGAGCUGAGAUAUUCUUCUAAAAACAUUUGUUCAGCAGAAGAAAGCCACUCAUACACAUCUGGGAUGGCAUAAGGGGGCUGAAGUGGGUCUGGCCUUUUGUCUGGGGGUGGAGCAGUCCUUUCAGGAAGAAAAGCCACAUGGGACACAGUGCCUCCAAUUGGCAACAUUGUGCAGUUAGACCACUUUUGUUCAGGCAAUAUCAUGCUAAAGUGUGGAGAUGUGCUCGGAUGCACAAUUAGGACCAUAUCACCUGGCUGCUCUACCGAAGAGAUUGUGAAGGCACUGGCAUGAGAAAGAAGGAACAUAUGAAGCUGUAUACCAUCAAGUCAUACAUCGCUGAAGGCCUAUGCAACAUACACACACGGAGUCAUUUGGAUGUUGGUUUAUAUGUUUAUAUGAAAUGUGAGAAACAUUUAUACAUGAGGUGUUAGUUGUAAUUAGUAAAGGUUUGUUUAUUUGAUUGUUUGAUGUUUGUGACUGGUUGGAACCAUUUGUAUUUGAUGUUUGUCAAAAUGAAAGGAUAUAUAAUAUAUGGAUAUAUUAUCAGGGUCCCCCAAGCUCCCAAAAAAUGGGGUGAAAUAUUUUUUCACCCCAAAAUAAAAACUUCAUGCCCUAGAGGGUUAAGAUGUAGCCAGAUGGUAUAAUUUUUGGACACAUUGUAAAUACUCCAUACAGACACUUCAAUUGUAAUAUUGUAUAACUAAUUAGUAAACUUGUUAUAAUUGUUAUCCACAAUGCCACUUUAUUGUUAUUAUAAUUAUUGCUAUUAAUAAAAACAAUGUUAAUACAAUGUUAACCCCCAUACGUUUAUUUGGUA
Myxocyprinus asiaticus (Chinese sucker) is the source of this 868-nucleotide long non-coding RNA. RefSeq lists it as uncharacterized. The record is from RefSeq and is a predicted model, not a curated record. Lineage: Eukaryota; Metazoa; Chordata; Actinopteri; Cypriniformes; Catostomidae. The transcript has 3 exons.